Molecule: long non-coding RNA, 832 nt
Organism: Solanum stenotomum
Lineage: Eukaryota; Viridiplantae; Streptophyta; Magnoliopsida; Solanales; Solanaceae
Exons: 5
Source: RefSeq, a predicted model, not a curated record
UCGGCCCUAAAUUUAAUUCCCAAGGGUUUCUACUUCAUCCCUUCAGUUCAACAAGAGAACAAUUGGAUUAUAGGUGGUUUGGUAGAAGAAAUAGUUGGUUUUUUUUUUUUUUUUUUGGGGAAUGGAGAGAAAAUAAGUCAUCGGUGCUAAGGAAGAAGUGGUUUCAUAUUGUUGGAUUAUAGGUGGUUUGGUAGAAGAAAUUUUUGGGGUUAUCGUCGGGGAGGUCAGAGCGAAGAGUUCGGUCAUCCUUAACGAGUUUGAUUUGGAGGAAAUAGAAUAGCAGUAGCCAUCUUGUUUCAUCAACUCCGACUCAAGUAGGGUUUCAAUAGUUCUCAAAUUUUAUUUGGAGAAUUUGAACAUCGACUGAAACUAAGCCCACCAAAGUGAUGUCAUUGACUUCAGGGAACUUAAGUUAGUUGAUCACAUUCUUGCUUCUCUGCAACGGAAGAUGGAGAGAUCUGAAUAGGAGACCAGGAAAUUAAAAUUUGUAGAGCUGAUGAAUAAGCACUUCGCUUCAAGUGUAAUUCCUAAAGUAGAGAAGCUUGGCCUAGAAAAUACAAGUUCUCGCUCGGCAAUGUGGUUUUCUUCAGGAGAAUGGUGAUGCAAUUGACGAUGGUGGCAGAAAGUUAAUUUGAUCUAUUGAUGCGCAUGAUGCAGACUUUUGAAUAAUUAGGAUGUCUAUGAAUUUUAAAGUUCAUUGUAAGUGGGCAUUUUGAUACAUAUAUUUUAUUAGUAUGUUUAGUACAGGACCAAGUGAAGUCAAAUUGCAAGUAUAUAUAAAUUUGAUUUAUUUUUUUGAUAUUUAUUACUUUAGUUUUUGAUAUCAUCAAAA